Molecule: ribosomal RNA, 402 nt
Filed under: uncultured bacterium
Lineage: Bacteria
Description: bacterial SSU rRNA
Rfam family: Bacterial small subunit ribosomal RNA
Source: RNAcentral
GAAUCUUCGGCAAUGGGCGCAAGCCUGACCGAGCGACGCCGCGUGGUGGAAGAAGGCCUUCGGGUUGUAAACACCUGUUGGGGGGGAACAAAUCAUGAGUGAACCCCUGAGGAAGCACGGACUAAGUUCGUGCCAGCCGCCGCGGUAAGACGAACCGUGCGAACGUUAUUCGGAAGCAUUGGGCUUAAAGAGCGCGUAGGCGGCGCUGCAAGUCGAAGGUGAAAUCCCACCGGCUCAACCGUGGAAUCGCCUGCGAAACUGCAGCGCUUGAGGGAGCUAGGGGCAUGUGGAACUUCCGGUGGAGCGGUGAAAUGUGUUGAUAUCGGAGGGAACGCCAGUGGCGAAAGCGGCAUGCUGGAUCUCAACUGACGCUGAGGCGCGAAAGCUAGGGUAGCGAACGGG